AUGACGGGUUCUUCUUCAUCUUGGUCUGUUCCGCCAGCCUCUGGGGAAUGUUCUUUACAAAAUGGCGAACGUUAUGAGAUAACCAAGGCCUUAUUGAAGUGCAAAAUGGCAGAAGGAAGCUCAGUGAGCCAACACCUGGUCAAGCUAGUUGGUUACAUGUGGAGGUUGGAAGCUUUGGGCUCUGCGAUCCCCGCUUGGCUUUGUACUGAUCUUAUCCUUCUGUCUCUCCCGCCAAGCUUUAAUGGCUUUAUCAUGAAUUACAUGAUGUACAAGAUGGACAAGAGCGUGAAUGAAUUGCUCGGGAUGCUCAAGAACGCGGAGUUUUGGAUACAGAAAGACACCAAUCAUGUGACGAAGAAGACCACUAGUUUCAAGAAGAAGGGCAAAGUCAAAAAUGGCAAGGGCGUCAGUAAGACCGACACCAAGGGAAAGCCUAAACGCGGGCCUACUAAAGAGACAGAGUGCUUCUUCUGCAAGGACAAGGGUCACUGGAAAAGGAAUUGCAAAAAGUUUUUGGCAGAAAAGAAGUCUGGAAAGUCCAGCACAAGGACUUCCGAGGACACAAGGACUGCUGAAGAAUGA
Molecule: ribosomal RNA, 582 nt
Filed under: Triticum aestivum (bread wheat)
Lineage: Eukaryota; Viridiplantae; Streptophyta; Magnoliopsida; Poales; Poaceae
Description: partial small subunit ribosomal RNA
Source: RNAcentral